UACGUAGGGUGCAAGCGUUAAUCGGAAUUACUAAGCGUAAAGCGUGCGCAAGCGGUCGUGCAAGACAGAUGUGAAAUCCCCGGGCUCAACCUGGGAACUGCAUUUGUGACUGCAUCGCUGGAGUGCGGCAGAGGGGGAUGGAAUUCCGCGUGUAGCAGUGAAAUGCGUAGAUAUGCGGAGGAACACCGAUGGCGAAGGCAAUCCCCUGGGCCUGCACUGACGCUCAUGCACGAAAGCGUGGGGAGCAAACAGG
RNAcentral lists this ribosomal RNA (253 nucleotides) under uncultured bacterium. RNAcentral's name for it is "partial 16S ribosomal RNA". It matches the Rfam family "Bacterial small subunit ribosomal RNA", at positions 524 to 776 of the family's 1533-position model. The record is from RNAcentral.